RNAcentral lists this ribosomal RNA (254 nucleotides) under uncultured bacterium. RNAcentral describes it as "partial 16S ribosomal RNA". It matches the Rfam family "Bacterial small subunit ribosomal RNA", at positions 524 to 776 of the family's 1533-position model. The record is from RNAcentral.
UACGAAGGGGGCGAGCGUUGUUCGGAUUUACUGGGCGUAAAGCGUGCGCAGACGGUCAUGUAAGUCGGGUGUGAAAGCCCCGGGCUCAACCUGGGAAUUGCAUUCGAGACUGCAUGGCUAGGGUGCGGAAGAGGGAAGCGGAAUUUCCGGUGUAACGGUGAAAUGCGUAGAUAUCAGGAGGAACACCGAUGGCGAAGGCAGGUCGUCUGGGCCGAUACUGACGCUGAGGAGCGAAAGCGUGGGGAGCGAACAGG